RNAcentral lists this transfer RNA (62 nucleotides) under Dipodomys ordii (Ord's kangaroo rat). It matches the Rfam family "tRNA", at positions 1 to 61 of the family's 71-position model. From Rfam's summary of the family: Transfer RNA (tRNA) molecules are approximately 80 nucleotides in length. The record is from Rfam by way of RNAcentral. Lineage: Eukaryota; Metazoa; Chordata; Mammalia; Rodentia; Heteromyidae.
GGGAACGUGGCUCAGUGGUAGAGUGCUUGCCUUGCAUGCAUGAGGCCCUGCGUUCGAUUCCU